This 229-nucleotide unclassified non-coding RNA is filed under the name plant metagenome. RNAcentral describes it as "partial contains small subunit ribosomal RNA, internal transcribed spacer 1, and 5.8S ribosomal RNA". The record is from RNAcentral.
UCUCCGUAGGUGAACCUGCGGAGGGAUCAUUACAGAGUGCAUGCCCUACCGGGUAGAUCUCCCACCCUAUGUUAUUAUUACUUUGUUGCUUUGGCGGGCCGUUAGGCUCCGGCCCGACUACCGGCCCCGGCUGGUAAGCGCCCGCCAGAGGACCCAAAACCCUGAAUAUUAGUGUCGUCUGAGUACUAUAUAAUAGUUAAAACUCUCAACAACGGAUCUCUUGGUUCUG